UGCGCAGGCGGGUUUGUAAGUCAGUGGUGAAAUCCUGCCGCUUAACGGUAGAAUUGCCAUUGAUACUGCGAAUCUUGAGUAUGGUUGAGGUAGGCGGAAUGUGUAGUGUAGCGGUGAAAUGCAUAGAUAUUACACAGAACUCCGAUUGCGAAGGCAGCUUACUAAGCCACAACUGACGCUGAGGCACGAAAGCGUGGGGAGCGAACAGGAUUAGAUACCCUGGUAGUCC
RNAcentral lists this ribosomal RNA (229 nucleotides) under uncultured bacterium. RNAcentral's name for it is "partial 16S ribosomal RNA". It matches the Rfam family "Bacterial small subunit ribosomal RNA", at positions 568 to 796 of the family's 1533-position model. The record is from RNAcentral.